GGAAACGCCCGGUCCCAUUCCGAACCCGGAAGCUAAGACCCACAGCGCCGAUGGUACUGCACCCGGGAGGGUGUGGGAGAGUAGGACACCGCCGGAC
RNAcentral lists this ribosomal RNA (97 nucleotides) under Arthrobacter sp. Leaf137. RNAcentral also lists the same sequence under 1 other name. The record is from RNAcentral. Lineage: Bacteria; Bacillati; Actinomycetota; Actinomycetes; Micrococcales; Micrococcaceae.